GCACUGCUGAGCAGUCUAACAAUAGGACAAAACGGCCGUCCAGUGC
This is a non-coding RNA of Schistosoma haematobium, 46 nucleotides long. NCBI's taxonomy places the organism in Eukaryota, Metazoa, Platyhelminthes, Trematoda, Strigeidida, Schistosomatidae. The record is from Rfam.